This 1246-nucleotide ribosomal RNA is filed under the name 'Orychophragmus violaceus' yellow dwarf phytoplasma. RNAcentral's name for it is "bacterial SSU rRNA". It matches the Rfam family "Bacterial small subunit ribosomal RNA", at positions 153 to 1399 of the family's 1533-position model. Lineage: Bacteria; Bacillati; Mycoplasmatota; Mollicutes; Acholeplasmatales; Acholeplasmataceae. The record is from RNAcentral.
GAAACGACUGCUAAGACUGGAUAGGAAAUAAAAAGGCAUCUUUUUGUUUUUAAACGACCUUCUUCGGAGGGUAUGCUUAAAGAGGGGCUUGCGCCACAUUAGUUAGUUGGUGAGGUAAAGGCUUACCAAGAUUAUGAUGUGUAGCUGGACUGAGAGGUUGAACAGCCACAUUGGGACUGAGACACGGCCCAAACUCCUACGGGAGGCAGCAGUAGGGAAUUUUCGGCAAUGGAGGAAACUCUGACCGAGCGACGCCGCGUGAACGAUGAAGUAUUUCGGUAUGUAAAGUUCUUUUAUUGAAGAAGAAAAAAUAGUGGAAAAACUAUCUUGACGUUAUUCAAUGAAUAAGCCCCGGCUAACUAUGUGCCAGCAGCCGCGGUAAGACAUAGGGGGCGAGCGUUAUCCGGAAUUAUUGGGCGUAAAGGGUGCGUAGGCGGUUAGAUAAGUCUAUAAUUUAAUUUCAGUGCUUAACGCUGUCUUGUUAUAAAAACUGUCUUGACUAGAGUGAGAUAGAGGCAAGCGGAAUUCCAUGUGUAGCGGUAAAAUGUGUAAAUAUAUGGAGGAACACCAGAAGCGUAGGCGGCUUGCUGGGUCUUUACUGACGCUGAGGCACGAAAGCGUUGGGAGCAAACAGGAUUAGAUACCCUGGUAGUCCACGCUGUAAACGAUGAGUACUAAGUGUCGGGGCAACUCGGUACUGAAGUUAACACAUUAAGUACUCCGCCUGAGUAGUACGUACGCAAGUAUGAAACUUAAAGGAAUUGACGGGACUCCGCACAAGCGGUGGAUCAUGUUGUUUAAUUCGAAGAUACACGAAAAACCUUACCAGGUCUUGACAUACUCUGCGAAGCUAUAGAAAUAUAGUGGAGGUUAUCAGGAUACAGGUGGUGCAUGGUUGUCGUCAGUUCGUGUCGUGAGAUGUUAGGUUAAGUCCUAAAACGAACGCAACCCCUGUCGUUAGUUACCAGCACGUAAUGGUGGGGACUUUAGCGAGACUGCCAAUUAAACAUUGGAGGAAGUGGGGAUAACGUCAAAUCAUCAUGCCCCUUAUGAUCUGGGCUACAAACGUGAUACGAUGGCUGUUACAAAGAGUAGCUGAAACGCGAGUUUUUAGCCAAUCUCAAAAAGACAGUCUUAGUCCGGAUUGAAGUCUGCAACUCGACUUCAUGAAGCUGGAAUCGCUAGUAAUCGCGAAUCAGCAUGUCGCGGUGAAUACGUUCUCGGGGUUUGUACACACCGCCCGUCA